AUCAAAUCAUCAGGGUGCAUCUGAAAAUCUUUCUAUAAUAAGCUAACAUAAAUUUUAUAUUUAUCUGAUAUGUAGCAGAAUAGGGAUCAAAAUCUUCAGGGAUGCUUGAAUUUUUUGAGCUUGAUGUCUCGCACGCACACCAGGCUCCAUAGGGAAGAAGAAUGAUUUUUUUGGGCAUUAAUCUUCAGAAAGGAAGCAAGAGGAGGAUGAGAACUCAUCU
This 220-nucleotide long non-coding RNA is filed under the name Elaeis guineensis (African oil palm). Its description in RNAcentral is "long non-coding RNA (EGUI_LNC009365)". The record is from RNAcentral. Lineage: Eukaryota; Viridiplantae; Streptophyta; Magnoliopsida; Arecales; Arecaceae.